Molecule: long non-coding RNA, 294 nt
Organism: Zophobas morio
Lineage: Eukaryota; Metazoa; Arthropoda; Insecta; Coleoptera; Tenebrionidae
Exons: 3
Source: RefSeq, a predicted model, not a curated record
GCCCCACUUGUGCCGUUUGUGAUGCCCAAAGAAAUUAAGGAUAUUAAGGCUUUUUUAAUGACGGUCCGUCGUCCUGAUGCUCGCCUUGUAACUAUCAAAAAGAACAAAUCCAAUACUAAGUUUAAAGUGAGAUGCUCAAGAUAUUUGUACACCCUAAAAGUCGCUGAUAGUGACAAAGCUGCUAAAGUCGAAUCCUCUCUACCUCCUGCCCUCAAGAAGGUCAUUAAGUGAGAAAAAUCGUCAAUUAGAAGUCCUUUGUUUGUGUUAACUCUAAAUUUUAGAUGAAGGAGCGGU